Molecule: unclassified non-coding RNA, 253 nt
Filed under: uncultured Gammaproteobacteria bacterium
Lineage: Bacteria; Pseudomonadati; Pseudomonadota; Gammaproteobacteria
Description: contains 16S-23S intergenic spacer region
Rfam family: Bacterial small subunit ribosomal RNA
Source: RNAcentral
UACGUAGGGUGCAAGCGUUAAUCGGAAUUACUGGGCGUAAAGCGUGCGCAGGCGGUUAUGCAAGACAGGUGUGAAAUCCCCGAGCUCAACUUGGGAACUGCACUUGUGACUGCAUGGCUAGGGUACGGUAGAGGGGAGUGGAAUUCCGCGUGUAGCAGUGAAAUGCGUAGAUAUGCGGAGGAACACCGAUGGCGAAGGCAGCUCCCUGGACCUGUACUGACGCUCAUGCACGAAAGCGUGGGGAGCAAACGGG